GACGAACGCUGGCGGCGUGCUUAACACAUGCAAGUCGAACGAAGUGGCGAACGGGUGAGUAACGCGUAAUCAACCUGCACUUCAGCGGGGGACAACAGUUGGAAACGACUGCUAAUACCGCAUACUGAGGGAGGGGAUUGCGUCUGGUUGGAUAGUGGGAGGGGUAAGGGCCCACCAAGGCGAUGAUCAGUAGCCGGUCUGAGAGGAUGAACGGCCACAUUGGGAAUGAGACACGGCCCAGACUCCUACGGGAGGCAGCAGUGGGGAAUCUUCCGCAAUGGACGAAAGUCUGACGGAGCAACGCCGCGUGAGUGAUGACGGCCUUCGGGUUGUAAAGCUCUGUUAAUCGGGACGCGGUACCUGAAGAAUAAGCACCGGCUAACUACGUGCCAGCCGCCGCGGUAAUAC
This 408-nucleotide ribosomal RNA is filed under the name uncultured bacterium. RNAcentral describes it as "partial 16S ribosomal RNA". It matches the Rfam family "Bacterial small subunit ribosomal RNA", at positions 28 to 526 of the family's 1533-position model. The record is from RNAcentral.